GGGGAAGGCAAGCGCCUCUGAGCGUCUGCAGAGCGCCGCCCGCCAGCCGGGGGAGGAGCGCUUGCAGGCGGCGGUCGCACCUCGGCCGUGCCGGAGACUGCAGACAGAAGGCAGGAAGGAGAGAGUGCCAGGUAAACCAUCUGUCUUCAUUAUGGCCUAGAAUAGAUGCCAAGAUGGUUUCCUGCUUUCCCCCCCUCCCAAAUGGAAGAAUAUGCGAGUUGGGGGGGGGGGAAGGACCCACUUUGAUCCGAAGACAUCGCGACUCUGGAUUUUGCCACCAGGGGACAAUCAGCAAAGAAGGAGGUUGGAUGAACAAAAAGGAAUAAAAGAAUCUGGAAAAAGAAAAAGGCGUCCUUAAAUUCCAACAUUAAAAGAUUGGCGCAAGAGAAGAUAAAAAGGGUCUGGAAAACCGAGCCUCCCGUAAAAGAGUUCUAUCUAUCUCCAUUCUUAAUUAAAUAACUCAUUACUUAAUAAAGUCAACCGAUGAUUUA
Molecule: non-coding RNA, 491 nt
Organism: Pantherophis guttatus
Lineage: Eukaryota; Metazoa; Chordata; Lepidosauria; Squamata; Colubridae
Source: RefSeq, a predicted model, not a curated record